This is a long non-coding RNA of Camelus dromedarius (Arabian camel), 491 nucleotides long. RefSeq lists it as uncharacterized. NCBI's taxonomy places the organism in Eukaryota, Metazoa, Chordata, Mammalia, Artiodactyla, Camelidae. The record is from RefSeq and is a predicted model, not a curated record. The transcript is spliced from 3 exons.
UGCAAAUAUUGGCUGCCGCUGAGAUAUUCCUGCAACAACCCUGGACAGUGCGCUGAGAAAUGCCCAGCCCUUGCAUGGUGAAUACUCUCAAAUGCUGAUGGAUCUUUAAGUCACACAAAACCGGUCCUCAAGCCCACAAAUGCUGCCCAGCCACGGUGAUGGUGACGGAGCUGUGCCAAUGCCUCUGUCCCCAGAGAUGCCAAUGAAAUCACGCAGGCCUGAGCCCGGCUUCAAGAAGAAGCUUGCCUCUGGCCAGGGUGGCUGAUGGAAACCAGAGCCUGGCUACUACAAGAUACUGAAUAUAGUUCCCUGUGCACUACCGAAGAAACUUGUUGUUUAUCUAUUUUAUAUAUAGUAGUGUGUAUCUGUAAAUCUCGAACUCCCAAUUUAUCCCUUCCUACCCCCUUUCACCCCUGGCUUGGAACCUCCCCUUUUUUCUUCUGAUUUUAAAAAACAUUAAAAUUAAAACUUAUUCCUGGGCCCUGGGCACU